AAUGAACGCUGGCGGCGUGCUUAACACAUGCAAGUCGAGCGAGAACGUUUCUUUCGGGAAAUCAGUAAAGCGGCGAACGGGUGAGUAACGCGUAGGAAUCUACCUUUCAGUGAAGAAUAACUUUGAGAAAUUAAAGCUAAUGCUGCAUGCGUCCUUUUAAGGAGAAAGAUGGCUUUUAUGCUGUCGCUGAGAGAUGAGCCUGCGUACUAUUAGCUUGUUGGUGGGGUAAUGGCCUACCAAGGCAAUGAUGGUUAACCGGCCUGAGAGGGUGUACGGUCACAUUGGAACUGAGAUACGGUCCAGACUUCUACGGAAGGCAGCAGUGAGGAAUAUUGCGCAAUGGGCGAAAGCCUGACGCAGCAACGCCGCGUGAAGGAUGAAGGCUUUAGAGUCGUAAACUUCUGUUAAGUGGGAAGAAAUAUCUACCUUUAAUAGAGGUAGAGAAUGACGGUACCACUAGAGAAAGCACCGGCUAACUUCGUGCCAGCCGCCGCCGUAACAC
Molecule: ribosomal RNA, 502 nt
Filed under: uncultured bacterium
Lineage: Bacteria
Description: bacterial SSU rRNA
Rfam family: Bacterial small subunit ribosomal RNA
Source: RNAcentral